UUAACACAUGCAAGUCGAGCGAGACCCACCUUUCGGGGUGGUGUUCUAGCGGCGAACGGGUGAGUAACACGUGGGCAACCUGCCCUCAGCUCUGGGAUAACUCCAAGAAAUUGGGGCUAAUACCGGAUAUGACCGCUGACCGCAUGGUCUGGUGGUGGAAAGAUUUAUCGGCUGGGGAUGGGCCCGCGGCCUAUCAGCUUGUUGGUGGGGUAGUGGCCUACCAAGGCGACGACGGGUAGCCGGCCUGAGAGGGUGACCGGCCACACUGGGACUGAGACACGGCCCAGACUCCUACGGGAGGCAGCAGUGGGGAAUAUUGCGCAAUGGGCGGAAGCCUGACGCAGCGACGCCGCGUGGGGGAUGACGGCCUUCGGGUUGUAAACCUCUUUCAGCAGGGACGAAGCGGAAGUGACGGUACCUGCAGAAGAAGCACCGGCCAACUACGUGCCAGCAGCCGCGGUAAUACGUAGGGUGCAAGCGUUGUCCGGAAUUAUUGGGCCGUAAAGAGCUCGUAGGCGGUUUGUUGCGUCGGCUGUGAAAUCCCGAGGCUCAACCUCGGGUCUGCAGUCGAUACGAGCAAACUAGAGUGNUGCAGGGGAGACUGGAAUUCCUGGUGUAACCGGUGAAAUGCCC
Molecule: ribosomal RNA, 633 nt
Filed under: Blastococcus sp. JMT1924
Lineage: Bacteria; Bacillati; Actinomycetota; Actinomycetes; Geodermatophilales; Geodermatophilaceae
Description: bacterial SSU rRNA
Rfam family: Bacterial small subunit ribosomal RNA
Source: RNAcentral